GAGGCAAUCCCUAAACUACAGAACGAGGGGAGUGCGGCAUCGUGUUUCUGUGUGCAGAUGCCGAGUCUGUGGAGGUUGUGAAGUUGUGAAGAUGCAGCCCCGAACACAAACAUAUGAUCUCUCCUUGUCUUCUGGAGCUGUGGAGAGUGGAAGAUUUGGAAGACAACAGUUAAGAGCAUGGACCUAGGUAGAGGAACAGAGGCAGUGCAGCUUCAUGACUCCCUGCUGAGCAUUCAGUGUUCCUAUUCAGCUGGACCCAGACAGUCUGUAAGUAGCCUAACAGUGUUUACUACAGAAUUUAAACUUUAUUUGUUAAUGAUAAAAUGCUUGUUUUGGCAGCAUGGUGGUGCAGUGAUUAGUGCUGUUGCCUCAUAGCAAGAGGGUUCCAGGUUCAAAUCCCGGACUGCACCCUUCUGUCUGGAGAUUACAAGUUCUCCUUGUGCCUGCGUGGGUUUUCUGCGGGUACUCCGGCUUCCUCCCACAAGCCCAAAAACAUGCAUUACUGGCUAUUCUACAUUGCUCCUAAGUAUGAGUGUGUGCGUUUGUGGUUGUCUGUCUUUGUGUCUCAGCCCUGCGAUUGACUGGCGACCAGUCCAGGGUGAACCCUUCCUCUCGCCCGUAGUCCGCUGGGAUAGGCUCCAGCUCCCUGCAACCCUGAUGUAUGAGCGGUAUAGAAAAUGGAUGGGUGGAUGGAUGGAUGAAAGUGCUUGUUUUUUGUUUUCUUAAUAUUGAUGCCUAUCAUGAAUCUUGUUUACAGCAAAUGCCACCUAAAGACAUCCUCAGCACCUCACCUUAGUUAAACUCAACACAGCUGCUGCCUGUUUGCUGCCAGAGAACCAGAAUCAUUCCUGAGGUAGAGGCAGGUUGUUCUCCAGAACUUUAACCUGAGGGCCACCACCAUACACACAUCAUGUCACCCCCAGUACUGUUACACUGCAAUGUUUUCCACAGACUCAAGACUAAUUUGUGGUGGAAGCAGCCACCGGAUGAGGGGUCAGAUAUUGCACUUCCACAGAGAAUUAUGAUGUGCACAAAGAGGGAGAGAUAGAACAUACAUGGCAAGGGAAUGCAGCUGUGAAAGAAUAAAGAUGCUGCGUUUUCAAAUAGCAUAGCGGAAAAAAAAAGAAACGUGAAUGAGAGAGAACAAAAUCAACAUUGUGGGCUCAGAAGUUGUAUUGUGGUUAGGAAGUUUGCCAUGCAUAAUUCUUUUAAUGUUCAUUGAAAUAUUUCUUGAUAUAUUGAAAGAUUUUAGUCUGUUUUCAUUAUUUUAUGUGAAAACAGUCCUCAUGUCCAUGUGUGCUUGAGCAAGAGACUGAACACAGUUUGAGUUUCAGAUCUGGCCGUACCCAAGUGAUAUCACCUUACUCAGACACAUAUUGAUGCACUUGAGUAACUCAAUAUUAUGAUUUUUGAUUGAGCAUCAAAAAUACUGCAUCAACUGCUGCCUGAUGGACAUGCCAGUGCCUUGCAUAACAUCUCCUCCACAAUCUGUCUGUGUGUGUGUAAAUGAAUCAAUGAAAGACAUUCCUUUCUGUUUCUGUUCUGGACAGAAAAUCCAAUGAAUAUCUGGCACUCCAAUCACUACCCCUCUGUUACAUACAGUCUCCAAUGUAGCAUCAGAUUUACCUCAUUUAUUACUUUUAUGUUGACAAGAUGCGAAUAAUGUUAUGUGCAGCAAUUUAAUAUGCCUUUGUUUAUGUUUGUUCAAAAUGUUUUUGUUCUCAUACUUUAUGUUUCACUUUCUGAUUUUAAUAAAGAUGCUUGAAUGAAAUUACAUACAGUGCAACAUUGCAUGUCUGAUGAUAAUAUUUUGAAUAGUAACAGUAGCUCUGUAAGUAGUUGCCACUGAAUAUACAGUUGUGCUCAUAAGUUUACAUACCCUGGCAGAAUUUAUUAUAUCUUGGCCAUUUUUCAGAGAAUAUGAAUGAUAACACAAAAACUUUUCUUUCACUCAUGGUUAGUGGUUGGGUGAAGCCAUUUAUGAUCUACUGUGUUUCCUCUUUUUAAAUCAUAAUGACAACAGAAACUACCCAAAUGACCCCUAUGAAAAGUUUACACACACCAGUUCUUACUACUGUGCAUUGCCCCCUUUAACAUCAAUGACAGCUUGAAGUCUGUUGUGGUACUUGUGGAUGAGGCUCUUUAUUUUCUCAAAUGGUAAAGCUGCCCAUUCUUCUUGGCAAAAAGCCUCCAGUUCCUGUAAAUUCUUGGGCUGUCUUGCCUGAACUGCACGUUUGAGAUCUCCCCAGAGUGGCUCAAUGAUAUUAUAUUAGUAGACUGAGAUGGCCACCCCAGAACCUUCACUUUAUUCUGCUGUAGCCAAUGACAGGUCGACCUGACCUUGUGUCUUGGAUCGUUCUCAUGUUGGCACGUCCAAGUAUGUCCCAUGCGCAGCUUCCUCCAGUUCUUUUUUAUACGUUAAUAAACUGUUUUUCAAGGUUUGACGGUCUUCUACACAUUGGCUGGAAUGUGAUUUUUCUUUCCAGCUGUCUAGUUUUCUGUUUCAAUAUGUGUAGAUUUGAAUUGUACCAGGGAGCUACUCUCUUCUGAUUAAUGACCUUCUUUUUCAGAGGGGCUACAGAAUUAAGGGUCCCAAGAAGUGAUGUUGCAGUGCUAUCUACAAGAACUUUAACAUCCACAUGAAUGUUAAAGUCUCCCACUAUGAUAACUUUGUCUGAGUUUAUUGCUAAGUAUGAUAGAAAGUCAGGGAAUUCA
Molecule: long non-coding RNA, 2715 nt
Organism: Scatophagus argus
Lineage: Eukaryota; Metazoa; Chordata; Actinopteri; Scatophagidae
Exons: 3
Source: RefSeq, a predicted model, not a curated record